UACGUAGGCGGUCCAAUAAGUCAGUGGUGAAAUCCUGCAGCUUAACUGUAGAACUGCCAUUGAUACUGUCGGACUUGAAUAUAGAUGAGGUAGGCGGAAUGUGUUGUGUAGCGGUGAAAUGCUUAGAUAUAACACAGAACACCAAUUGCGAAGGCAGCUUACUAGACUAUAAUUGACGCUGAGGUACGAAAGCGUGGGGAGCGAACAGGAUUAGAUACCCUGGUAGUCC
This 229-nucleotide ribosomal RNA is filed under the name uncultured bacterium. Its description in RNAcentral is "partial 16S ribosomal RNA". It matches the Rfam family "Bacterial small subunit ribosomal RNA", at positions 568 to 796 of the family's 1533-position model. The record is from RNAcentral.